UACUACUACUGCUACUACGGGUACUACUACUACUACUACUACUACUGCUACUACGGGUACUACAAUAUCAGUUGAUAAAAGUUCCCACAAUAGUAACAACACUCGUGACACGGUAAAAAAUGUAUACAUAUUAAAAAAUUUAAAAAAAGUGUUAAAAGUUUGUACAAUAGGACAAUGUUUUCGAUACGAAAAAAUAAGCAAAAACAGAAAAAGGGAACAUUAUCAGUGGAAUAUAGACCUAUACGGAAUAAAUAACACAAAUGCAGAAAUUGAAAUUUUAACUAUUUUGAUUUCUUUUUUUCAAAAUGUAAAUUUAUCACAUAACGAUAUAAUAAUUAAAAUUAAUAAUAAAAAAAUAAUACAAUUUAUUAUUAACCGAAUAUUUAAAAAAACUUUAGCUAACUUUUCUUCUAAUUAUGUAAAUAAAAUUGUAAUAAAAAAAAUAUUACAUAUACUGGAUAAAUAUAAAAAAAUAACAUCCUAUAAUUUUAAAUUAUUAUUACAAAAAAAAAUACCAUAUAUACAAAAUGAACAAAUUUCUCACUUUAAUAACAUAAUUACAAAUGUUAAAAAUAUAAAUGAUAUAAAAAAACUACUUAAUUAUAAUUUCCUCAUUUAUAAUGACUUAAAAAAUAUACUUUCUUAUUUUUAUCAAAUAAAUUUACAUCCAUUUUUUGAAAUCGAUUUAACAACAGUUAGAGGAUUAGACUAUUAUAACAACACUAUUUUUGAAACUUUUUAUAAAAAUAAAAACACGAGAUCUAUAUGUGGUGGAGGUAGAUAUGAUUUUUAUAUAAAGGAUUUACCUUACGAAACUACAUGUACUAGUCUCCCUACCAAAUACGUACCUGCUGUUGGGUUUGGUAUGGGAGAUGUUGUAAUAACAGAUAUACUAUUUAAUCAAAAAAAAAAACAAUUAUUUCCAAUUUAUAACAACAAAAUAAAUGUUGUUACAUACUUCCCAUUUUUUAAUCAUACAAACGUUAACAACAAAAAUGUUUAUAAAGAAUAUUAUAAUAUUUUACAUAUUUUAAGAAAUAAUAAUAUAAAAAUAUAUUCACUAUUACAAAGUAAUUUGACUCUAUCCAAAGCGUUAAAAAAAGCUAAUUUAUUACAAUCUAAUUAUUUUCUUUUUUUCAAUUCAGCGAUUAGCAUUUUUAUAUUAAAAAAUUUAUUAACAGGAAAACAGCUAGCUGUUAAUUCGGAAAAUGUCUUGGCUAUAUACAACUCGGUUUGGUGAAUUUUUUUUUUUUUUAUAAUACCCGCCGGUAAAAAUACGCUCACCAAACACAUGUGCAUGUACAUAUAAAUCUGCAUAUAAAUCUGCAUAUAAAUCUGCAU
This 1341-nucleotide long non-coding RNA is filed under the name Piliocolobus tephrosceles (Ugandan red Colobus). Its description in RNAcentral is "lncRNA (ENSPTEG00000000650.1)". The record is from RNAcentral. Lineage: Eukaryota; Metazoa; Chordata; Mammalia; Primates; Cercopithecidae.